UACGUAGGGUGCGAGCGUUGUCCGGAAUUAUUGGGCGUAAAGAGCUUGUAGGCGAUUUGUCGCGUCUGCUGUGAAAAUCCGGGGCUCAACCCCGGACUUGCAGUGGGUACGGGCAGACUAGAGUGUGGUAGGGGUGACUGGAAUUCCUGGUGUAGCGGUGAAAUGCGCAGAUAUCAGGAGGAACACCGAUGGCGAAGGCAGGUCUCUGGGCCACUACUGACGCUGAGAAGCGAAAGCAUGGGGAGCGAACAGG
This 253-nucleotide ribosomal RNA is filed under the name uncultured bacterium. RNAcentral describes it as "partial 16S ribosomal RNA". It matches the Rfam family "Bacterial small subunit ribosomal RNA", at positions 524 to 776 of the family's 1533-position model. The record is from RNAcentral.